UACGUAGGAGGCAAGCGUUGUCCGGAAUUACUGGGCGUAAAGAGCUUGUAGGCGGUUUGUCGCGUCUGCUGUGAAAUCUCAAGGCUCAACCUUGAGCUUGCAGUGGGUACGGGCAGACUAGAGUGUGGUAGGGGAGAUUGGAAUUCCUGGUGUAGCGGUGAAAUGCGCAGAUAUCAGGAGGAACACCGAUGGCGAAGGCAGGUCUCUGGGCCACUACUGACGCUGAGAAGCGAAAGCAUGGGGAGCGAACAGG
RNAcentral lists this ribosomal RNA (253 nucleotides) under uncultured bacterium. Its description in RNAcentral is "partial 16S ribosomal RNA". It matches the Rfam family "Bacterial small subunit ribosomal RNA", at positions 524 to 776 of the family's 1533-position model. The record is from RNAcentral.